This is a long non-coding RNA of Strongylocentrotus purpuratus (purple sea urchin), 677 nucleotides long. RefSeq lists it as uncharacterized. Lineage: Eukaryota; Metazoa; Echinodermata; Echinoidea; Camarodonta; Strongylocentrotidae. The record is from RefSeq and is a predicted model, not a curated record. The transcript has 4 exons.
CAACCGAGAACUGACUCAAGAUGCCGAAUUGGUGACAAUUAUAGAGUCUGUAACUGCAGACUAAAAGAUAAGGGGAGGGGCUUGUUUUAUCCGGGUAAACAGCCCAGGCUCGGAUGGACCUUGAUGUAAAGAAAAUCCGCAGUUCAUGUAUUUUCAACUUCAAAGAGUAAAUGCAGAUGGAUAGGAAAAAACACCACACAAUACCGGAAAUUACCGAAUAGCAUGCACGGUUGCAGAUAACCCAUGAGUAUGCAUGAGGACUGUCUGGCAAAAUCUUGGUUCUAUUUUUUACAGAAGAGACAGAAAUAUCUGAACGCCAUUACCAAGAAGUACAACUCCCUAGCUGAGAGAUGGAGAAGGGACACAAAGUACGUCGUUGGUUUGUUCUACUGUGUGCUCACCUGAGCAUGGUCAUCUUCGCAGGAACCUACCGUUCUCUUGGAGUAUUGCUAGUGGAAUGGAAGGAGUAUUUCAACACUUCCUCGACCGAAAUCAGUGCGAUCAUUACCGUGUUAGCAGCAUCAGGACUUCUCUCUGGGAUUCCAUCUGGCAUUGUGAUUACCAGGUAUGGGUGUCAUUACGGCAGUCUUCUCGGAGCCAUUGCCUUCGUCAGCGGAACAGUCGCAAGUGUUUUUGCCCCCAAUCCUCUUGUUCUCUGCUUCACGAUGGGUUUCAUA